GACGAACGCUGGCGGCGUGCCUAACACAUGCAAGUCGAACGAGAUCCAUGGGAGCUUGCUCCCGGAAGAUCUAGUGGCGAACGGGUGAGUAACACGUGAGAAACCUGCCCUGGAGUGGGGAAUAACUCGGGGAAACUCGAGCUAAUACCGCAUACCCUCGGAUGGUCGCAUGGCCGACCGAGGAAAGAUUUAUCGCUCUAGGAGGGUCUCGCGGCCUAUCAGCUAGUUGGUGGGGUAACGGCCUACCAAGGCAACGACGGGUAGCUGGUUUGAGAGAACGAUCAGCCACACUGGGACUGAGACACGGCCCAGACUCCUACGGGAGGCAGCAGUGGGGAAUCUUGCGCAAUGGGCGAAAGCCUGACGCAGCAACGCCGCGUGCGGGAUGACGGCCUCGUGGUUGUAAACCGCUUUC
RNAcentral lists this ribosomal RNA (415 nucleotides) under uncultured bacterium. Its description in RNAcentral is "bacterial SSU rRNA". It matches the Rfam family "Bacterial small subunit ribosomal RNA", at positions 28 to 437 of the family's 1533-position model. The record is from RNAcentral.